Molecule: long non-coding RNA, 3330 nt
Filed under: Homo sapiens (human)
Lineage: Eukaryota; Metazoa; Chordata; Mammalia; Primates; Hominidae
Description: HSALNT0320399
Source: RNAcentral
GCCCGGCCGCGGUGGUGGGCGGGAGGAUGGUGGGCGGGCUCCGAGCCCAGCUCCACUGGCCCCGGCCGCGGGGCUCGCCCCUCCGUCCCCAAACGACCGUCUCCGCUGCCAUGAGAUGCCGACAGCCUGUGCGCUGGCCGCCACCCCCUGCUCCAUCAGGUGCUGGAAUCUGAGUAAAAGCCUGGGCGCGAGCUCCCAGCCCCGGGGCCUGCCACCGGCUCCACGAAGCGGGCAGCUCCAGCGGCCGCCGGGAGAAGGAAGGGCGACCGGGGGAGACGGGUCGCAGGGACAGCACGUGGCGGAAAGUUAGCCCCGGACUAGCACGCCCCACCCGGAGAAGCCGGCCUGGAAGGGGCUGCGGACCACCAGGCGGAGCGGUGGGCGACCGAAGUGCGGCUGGGCUGGCCUCCUCGUCUCCGCACUGGAAGAAUUGCCCUUCCGCAAGUCUUCCCUUCCCACAUGGGGGCCCUCCAGGCCGCACCUCGGUCGCCCACCGCUUCCCUUGAGAAGGGAGACUAAAGACAGGCAUCUGGAAGCUGUCACUGUGGCGCGCGGGCAGACAGGGGAUCCCAUUGGAGAGGAAGAGCCGUAGUAGUCGCUGCUGCCUUCGGCCGACCCAACGGCCGCCUGCUUGGGAGGAAGAAAAAGAACGCCCCCGCUGAAGAAUUAAGGCAGCCAUUGGUUGCUCUAGGGGAGAUGACUACGGGAAGUGUGAAUACCAGAAGGCAAGAUCACUAGAAACUAUCAUGGAGGCCGAACACCACAGGGUUACAAGAUGGGCAGUACAAUAGAGGAUGGACUGGAGUUGGAAAAGACUAAAGCAGCAAGUUUGAUAAGGAGGCUACAGCAAUAGUCCAGGUGAAAGACGCAAGAGCCCAAAAUGCAGCAGUGGCCAAGGGAAUGGAUCUGAGAUAAAGUUCAGAAGAUAGAGUUGGCAGGGCAGGUGAGUUUAUCUUUAAUCCAGGAGAAGAGAAGAAGGCCACAUGAAGAUGGAGCAAGAGAUUGGAGUGAUGUGGCCACAAGCCAAGGAAGCUGAGGAAUGAAGACAGCUAUCAGAAGCUGGAAGAGGAAAAGAAUUCUCUCUUGGGGUCUGCAGAGGGAGAACAGCCCUGCCAACACUUCCAUUUCCAAUGUCUGGACUCUAGAACUGUGAGAAAAUAAAUUCCCAUUAUUUUAAGGAACACAGUUUGUGAUACUGCAUUACAGCAGCUCCAUGAAACAAAUACAUUUUGUUAUUCCAAGUCCUCUUCACAACAAAGUCUUUGCUAGUGGUGAACCAAACACAGUCCCACCAUCAUGAGCCACUGUUCUGGAUGAGGGGGCAACACAGUUCAGACACUGGUCAUCUCUAUUUAAUGUCUAAUGGGCAUCUCAAACCUAACUUUCUCCCAGUGGAAAUGCCUGGAGGUACGUGGAGAUGGAAAGCUGACCUAGCCAAGGAGUUCAGCAAAGAUCCCUGGGAGGAGGUGACAUCUGGACAUCUGCACAGAAUAAUGAGGCUGGGCUAAGGCAGUGACUGAGGGAGGCACUCUUUUUUGGUUUUUCUUUUCUUUUCUUUUGUGUAGGAAGGAAAGAAUAGCCAGGAGAGAUAGAGGAGAAAGAGGAUAAAGAUAGACAGGAAAGAGGUAACACAAGAAGUCAGGACCUGCGCUUGAGGGGCAGAAGUCAAGUCGGGCUAAGGUGAGAAGGCAGAACAGGGUUCAGGGUCUUUGAAGAGAAACAAGUACAGAGCUGGAACUAAGUGAUGCUGACUCCAGACUAAAACCCUCUGGGUUUGAAUCCUGCCUCUGCCACUUACUUAUUCAUUACAAAAUAGCGAGAAAUUACAUUAUCUGGAUCUUGGUCUCUUCAACUAUAAAACAAAAAUAAUAAUAGCUCCUAUCUCAUAGGAUGCUAUUAGGAGUACUAAGUAUAUUAACACCUGUAAAGCACUUGGCUCAAUGUCUGGCACUGCAUAUGCAAUAAAUGUCAUUAUUACUAUUAACAUUAUUAGAAGAAGCAGCAAAUUUAAAAUCAGAAUGUGAGCACUGGAAAGGACUUCAGAAUCAACUAAUCUAAUUCCCCCAUUGUACAAAUGAACAGACUGAGGCCCAGAGAGGUUUGAAAUUGGCCAAAUUUAAGGAGAUAGGAACAGAGCCGAGAUGACAAAAUUGCUUGAAAGUCUGUGCUUUUUCUAGGUGAACUAUACAUAUAUAUUUGGGAAUCAUAAGAAUAUAAGCAGUGAUUGAAUCUGAGGAAAUAGAGUUACUCAGGAAGAACACAAGAAUUAGUACAGAAUGCUGAAAGAAGAAUGAAAAUAGAUUUGAAGUCAACUUGAUUCAAAUAUCCCAAUGUAAUGGUAUUAGGAAGUGGUGCCUUUUUGAGGUAAUUGGGUCAUGAGGGUGGAGUCCUCAUGAGUGGGAUUAGGGCCCUUAUAAGGGGCUGAAGAGACCAGAGUUUUCCCUUCCACCAACUGAAGACUCAUAUAGAAGGUACUAUUUAUGAACCAGAGGGUAGGUCCUCAGCAGACACCAAAUCUGCUGCAACCUUGAUCUUGGACUUCCCAGUCUCCAGAAAUGUGAGAAACAAAUUUCUAUUGUUUAAAAGCCACCCAGUUUAUAGUAUUUUGUUAUAGCAGCCUGAAUGGGCUAAGACACCAUUAAACUUUGAAACUUGGUUUUUCCACAUGUAAAAUCAGGAUACACGUAGAAAACCUGCUGAUGCCUUUAAAAAAUUUUAAACCCAUAUGUUCUAAAGUUGGUAACAGAGGAAGACUUUCCACAAGAUGGAGGAAAGUCUUUUACUCCAGAUCUUAAAAUUAACCUUACUCUUGGGGUAUAAGGUUACUCACACUAAUGUCUGCUGGAGCCACAAUCAGCAAACUGGCUUUAGGGGUACAAAGCAUGGAUUUUACAGUUUCUCUCAUUGCCAUAGUAUGGUUGAGACAGCUUAUAAUAUUUAUGCAAGAUACUACUAAAGAUGGACCCCUCAUGUUGGAGCUGGACAUAGGACUUUUUUCUUCUCUUUCUAGAUUUCUUCCAUAGAUACAUUCAUCUAAUCCCAUAGCUUUAAAAUACCACCUCAAAGCCAAAGACUCAAAUUUAUACCUCUAGCUCUGACCUACUCCUGAGCUCCAGACUUAUAUGUCCAAUUGCUUGCUCUAGAUUAUUACUUAGAUAUCUAAUGGUCAUUCAAAUAUAACAUUUCCAAAAUGGGAUGCUUGACUUCCUGCUCCCAAACCAGUUCUUCCUGCAAUAUUCUCAAUCUUGGUAAACUUAUAUCCAAUUGAUAUAGUUUGGAUAUCUGUACCCACCCAAAUCUCAGGUUGAAUUGUAAUCCCCAGUGCUGGAG